RNAcentral lists this ribosomal RNA (639 nucleotides) under uncultured bacterium. RNAcentral's name for it is "bacterial SSU rRNA". It matches the Rfam family "Bacterial small subunit ribosomal RNA", at positions 64 to 692 of the family's 1533-position model. The record is from RNAcentral.
GAGGGGCAGCGGGGUUGUAGCAAUACAACUGCCGGCGACCGGCGCACGGGUGAGUAACACGUAUGUAACCUGCCCUCUGCAGGGGGAUAAGCGGAAGAAAUUCCGUCUAAUACCGCAUAAUACAAUUUGGAGACAUCUCCGGGUUGUCAAAGGAGUGAUCCGGCAGAGGAUGGACAUGCGGCGCAUUAGCUAGUCGGCGGGGUAACGGCCCACCGAGGCUACGAUGCGUAGGGGUUCUGAGAGGAAGGUCCCCCACACUGGUACUGAGACACGGACCAGACUCCUACGGGAGGCAGCAGUGAGGAAUAUUGGUCAAUGGGCGGAAGCCUGAACCAGCCAAGUCGCGUGAGGGAAGACGGUCCUAUGGAUUGUAAACCUCUUUUGCAGGGGAGCAAGGCGCGGUACGUGUACCGCGAAGGAGAGUACCCUGAGAAAAAGCAUCGGCUAACUCCGUGCCAGCAGCCGCGGUAAUACGGAGGAUGCGAGCGUUAUCCGGAUUUAUUGGGUUUAAAGGGUGCGCAGGCGGACUGUUAAGUCAGCGGUAAAAUGUCGGUGCUCAACACCGGCCGGCCGUUGAAACUGGCAGCCUUGAGUGAGCGAGUAGUAUGCGGAAUGCGUGGUGUAGCGGUGAAAUGCAUA